GCAGUCGAGCGGCAGCACGGGUACUUGUACCUGGUGGCGAGCGGCGGACGGGUGAGUAAUGCCUAGGAAUCUGCCUGGUAGUGGGGGAUAACGUUCGGAAACGAACGCUAAUACCGCAUACGUCCUACGGGAGAAAGCAGGGGACCUUCGGGCCUUGCGCUAUCAGAUGAGCCUAGGUCGGAUUAGCUAGUUGGUGAGGUAAUGGCUCACCAAGGCGACGAUCCGUAACUGGUCUGAGAGGAUGAUCAGUCACACUGGAACUGAGACACGGUCCAGACUCCUACGGGAGGCAGCAGUGGGGAAUAUUGGACAAUGGGCGAAAGCCUGAUCCAGCCAUGCCGCGUGUGUGAAGAAGGUCUUCGGAUUGUAAAGCACUUUAAGUUGGGAGGAAGGGCAGUUACCUAAUACGUGAUUGUUUUGACGUUACCGACAGAAUAAGCACCGGCUAACUCUGUGCCAGCAGCCGCGGUAAUACAGAGGGUGCAAGCGUUAAUCGGAAUUACUGGGCGUAAAGCGCGCGUAGGUGGUUCGUUAAGUUGGAUGUGAAAUCCCCGGGCUCAACCUGGGAACUGCAUUCAAAACUGUCGAGCUAGAGUAUGGUAGAGGGUGGUGGAAUUUCCUGUGUAGCGGUGAAAUGCGUAGAUAUUGGAAGGAACACCAGUGGCGAAGGCGACCACCUGGACUGAUACUGACACUGAGGUGCGAAAGCGUGAGGAGCAAACGGGAUUAGAUACCCUGGUAGUCCACGCCGCAAACGAUGUCAACU
RNAcentral lists this ribosomal RNA (766 nucleotides) under Pseudomonas sp. RNAcentral describes it as "bacterial SSU rRNA". It matches the Rfam family "Bacterial small subunit ribosomal RNA", at positions 57 to 817 of the family's 1533-position model. The record is from RNAcentral. Lineage: Bacteria; Pseudomonadati; Pseudomonadota; Gammaproteobacteria; Pseudomonadales; Pseudomonadaceae.